This 724-nucleotide long non-coding RNA is filed under the name Mus musculus (house mouse). Its description in RNAcentral is "long non-coding RNA chr10:3731325-3732049". The record is from RNAcentral. Lineage: Eukaryota; Metazoa; Chordata; Mammalia; Rodentia; Muridae.
CUAUCCUUUCAAGAAUGAUAUACACCACUGAGACAGGUAAUUCCUCCAGUCCUUAAUUGAUGUAAAAUGAAAAUGUAAAUAUUUAGGGUAAGUUCAAUGAGCACACACUGAAGAAUCGAUCUAUAGCCAAAAUAUUUUGUUGGACCUUACAGUGCAGGAUUAUAUCAGCACUUGGGAUGAACAAGAAGAAGAAGAAAAAGAAGGAGGAGGAGGAGAAGGAGAAGAAGGAGGAGGAGAAGAAGAGACCAGACUUUUGAGAGCAGCCUGACUGGCAUAGUGAAACUGUAUCUUUAAAAACAAGACAGAGAAAUGUUUAUAUUUUUUUUAUUUUCUCCUUUUAUAGUUAUAUGUUAUUUAUUUAUUUUUUAGAAAAUAUUUUUACAUAUAUAUACACAUAUUUAUAUAUCUUACUCUCUUCUCUCUUUUGGCACCCUCAGGUUAGUAUCCUUUGUUCUUCUAGACAGUAUUACAUAUUUAUUGUAUGUACUUAUUGUAUUAUAUAUUUAAUGUGCAUAUAUAUGAUUUCAUGCAACUGUACAAAAUCUAGGAAUCACAAAUUAAAGAAAACUUAUGAUAGUUACACAUCAUUAUUCUUAGUAAUUCCUAAGUGUAUCAGAUACUCUAGUUUAGUAAACAUUUUGUAUGUAUAGACUCUAUUUUAUUGCUAUCAGUAAUAUAUGAAUAACAUUUUCUUGGGUUUCCUAUGAGGAGAUUUGGAGAAAAU